AGAGUUUGAUCCUGGCUCAGGAUGAACGCUGGCGGCGUGCUUAACACAUGCAAGUCGAACGAAGUCUUUAGGGACUUAGUGGCGGACGGGUGAGUAACGCGUGAGAAUCUGCCUUCAGGACGGGGACAACAACUGGAAACGGUUGCUAAUACCCGAUAUGCCGCGAGGUGAAAUGUUUUUUCGCCUGAAGAUGAGCUCGCGUCCGAUUAGCUAGUAGGUGAGGUAAGAGCUCACCUAGGCGGUGAUCGGUAGCUGGUCUGAGAGGAUGAGCAGCCACACUGGGACUGAGACACGGCCCAGACUCCUACGGGAGGCAGCAGUGGGGAAUUUUCCGCAAUGGGCGAAAGCCUGACGGAGCAACGCCGCGUGAGGGAAGAAGGUCUUUGGAUUGUAAACCUCUUUUCUCAGGGAAGAAGUCAGUGACGGUACCUGAGGAAUCAGCAUCGGCUAACUCCGUGCCAGCAGCCGCGGUAAUACGGGGGUUGCAAGCGUUAUCCGGAAUUAUUGGGCGUAAAGCGUUCGUAGGCGGUUUUAUAAGUCUGCUGUCAAAGUGCGGAGCUCAACUCCGUAAGAGCAGUGGAAACUGUGAGACUAGAGUGUGGUAGGGGUAGAGGGAAUUCCCAGUGUAGCGGUGAAAUGCGUAGAUAUUGGGAAGAACACCGGUGGCGAAAGCUCUCUACUGGACCAUAACUGACGCUGAGGGACGAAAGCUAGGGGAGCGAAAGGGAUUAGAUACCCCUGUAGUCCUAGCCGUAAACGAUGAACACUAGGUGUUGUCUGUGUCACCCGGACAGUGCCUAAGCAAACGCGUUAAGUGUUCCGCCUGGGGAGUACGCACGCAAGUGUGAAACUCAAAGGAAUUGACGGGGGCCCGCACAAGCGGUGGAGUAUGUGGUUUAAUUCGAUGCAACGCGAAGAACCUUACCAAGGCUUGACAUGCCUCGAAUCCUUCAGAGAUGAGGGAGUGCCUACGGGAGCGAGGACACAGGUGGUGCAUGGCUGUCGUCAGCCCGUGUCGUGAGAUGUUGGGUUAAGUCCCGCAACGAGCGCAACCCUCGUUUUUAGUUGCCAGCAUUAAGUUGGGCACUCUAGAGAGACUGCCGGUGAUAAACCGGAGGAAGGUGGGGACGACGUCAAGUCAUCAUGCCCCUUAUGUCUUGGGCUACACACGUACUACAAUGGUCGGGACAACGGGCAGCCAACUCGCGAGAGUGCGCUAAUCUCUUAAACCCGGCCUCAGUUCAGAUUGCAGGCUGCAACUCGCCUGCAUGAAGGAGGAAUCGCUAGUAAUCGCAGGUCAGCAUACUGCGGUGAAUCCGUUCCCGGGCCUUGUACACACCGCCCGUCACACCAUGGAAGUUGGCCACGCCCGAAGUCGUUACUCUAACCUUUCGAGGGGGAGGGCGCCGAAGGCAGGGCUGAUGACUGGGGUGAAGUCGUAACAAGGUA
This 1449-nucleotide ribosomal RNA is filed under the name metagenome. Its description in RNAcentral is "bacterial SSU rRNA". It matches the Rfam family "Bacterial small subunit ribosomal RNA". The record is from RNAcentral.